Carassius auratus (goldfish) is the source of this 119-nucleotide ribosomal RNA. The record is from Ensembl. Lineage: Eukaryota; Metazoa; Chordata; Actinopteri; Cypriniformes; Cyprinidae.
GCUUACGGCCAUACCAAUCUGGCUAUGCCCGAUCUCGUCUGAUCUCGGAAGCUAAGCAGGUUUGGGCCUGGUUAGUACUUGGAUGGGAGACCGCCUGGGAAUACCAGGUGCUGUAAGCU